CUCAGUCGCACAUCUCCUCCGGCAGCUCGUGGGGGUUGAGGAUUCCCGGCACAGACAUCUGGAGCUUGUGCUUCUCCUCCUGGGCCUGACGCAGAGACGACUCCCUCUCCUCCAGGAACAGGUCCGUUGUGUCCUCGCCGGCAAACUCCUGCAGGGGGCGACAGACACAAAAGCAGAGGCGGCGUGGAGACCCUCACCUUGAUCUGCACCAGGAAGUCCCUCAGGUGCUCCUUGAAGGCCGGGAUGUCCUGGUUCAGGCUGAACAGGCCUGUUACGAACACCUUCACCUGGGCGCUGAGGAACCACAAGGUCAAUUAGUUCGUAUGAGAAAACACGGCAUGUAGGAAAGCUAUAAGAUAGACAACAGAUCCUCUAAAUCCACUUGACCUUUAAAAGCACAAUACAAAAAAAAAAAAAGUAUGAUUAUGAAAGUGUGUAUCUCUCAUCUCUCCGGCUUCUGGCAACUUCAGACAUUUCUAAAUAAAUCAGAAUGUUUUUCCCCCUUUAACCCCCGUGUGUGAGACUUACUCCUGCAGGUGGGGGAAGGCCGUCUUCAGCAGGUUGGCGAUGUACUCCUGGACAUGCGCCUGGUUGUUGGCGGGGCUGGCGGCGCUCAGGGCCACGCUCACCUUGCCUUCCUCCACCAGGUUGAACAUGUAGGCCAGGAUGGUGGCGUGCAUGGUCAGGCCUGCAAGACGGGGAGCAGGGAGUCAAGUCACGUUAAUGAUCUUAACGCUUAUUAUCAUCUCGUACAUAACGAAGGGAAUAUGUGGUCCCAUCUUUAUUCUUAAAGGGGCAGUCAGCGAUUUUGGAGAACCAUUGUUUGUUGUUGAUGAUGAUGAUGUCACUGCUCUGGUCGGGACUCGAACCCGCAGCCUCAGGUACGUGAGACGGACGAGCUAACUCUCGUAAUUUCACGAGAAUAGAGUUGUAACUCUACGAGAAUAAAGUUAUAUUACGACUAGCUAUCGCUAGCACGUCUCUUAUUAAGGUGUCGGGGAGUGAUGUUUACAAACUGCACACAAAGUCGUAAUAUUACGUGAAUAAAGUCAUAAUAUUAAGACAAUAAAGUCAGAAUUUUGCGACGUAAAAUAACAAAUUUAUUGUCUUAUUAGUAUGACUUUUUCCUCAUUAAUUUACUACUUUAUUCUCAAACUCUCCAAUGUCUUCUUCACAGAAUUUAUUUUACAUUAGUGUCUUGGAUUCAAAAUCUCUCACAGAUAUGAAAACAGAUAAGUGCGAACAGAUGGUUACGUGUGCAUGCUCGUUUGAUUUACUCAAAAACGACAGAACAAAUUUCCAUCUAACGAGGUGGAACAAUGGGACGUGGAUCUGGACAAAGGGGGCGGAGACAGUAAUAUUUUUUUCCAUUAUCCUUUUAGUUUUCCACAGAAAAGUUCAUGGACGUAUUCAGUGGACUGGUUGAGUGUGUGUGAGUGUGUGUACCUGCGGUGUGCGAGGUGUCGGUGACCACGGAGAAAAUGUGCUGCAGCACGUCACAGAAGUACGUCUGGUAGAAGCUCUGCGCCGCCGCCUCCUCCGCCGACACGUUCUGCAGCAGCGUGUAGAGGAUCUGCAGACCUGCGGGAAACGGGGGGGGGAUGUUGAGUCAGCGUUUCUAUGACGACCAUUGAACCAAACAUUUAAAUUGAACUGAAUAUCUUUGGUGUGAGGACGAAACAAAACAUCACCUUGAGAUGAGCCGACGUCAGUCUCGGACCUGUGUCGGCCACGUUCCUCAUGGUGUGCUUGAAGGCCCAGAUGAUGGAGUCCAGGAUCAGUUUGAACUGGGCCGGGGCGAUGGACAGGAACGCCGGGAAGCACUGGGACGUGGCGGCUUGAAGGAGGUAGAAGA
Scophthalmus maximus (turbot) is the source of this 1855-nucleotide long non-coding RNA. RefSeq lists it as uncharacterized. The record is from RefSeq and is a predicted model, not a curated record. The transcript has 4 exons. Lineage: Eukaryota; Metazoa; Chordata; Actinopteri; Pleuronectiformes; Scophthalmidae.